CAAAGUGUAGCUUAAUCAAAGCAUCCCGCUUACACCGAGAAAAUACCCGUUAAACCCGGGUCACUCUGA
RNAcentral lists this transfer RNA (69 nucleotides) under Ololygon sp. KAV8. Its description in RNAcentral is "tRNA-Val". It matches the Rfam family "tRNA". From Rfam's summary of the family: Transfer RNA (tRNA) molecules are approximately 80 nucleotides in length. Their secondary structure includes four short double-helical elements and three loops (D, anti-codon, and T loops). Further hydrogen bonds mediate the characteristic L-shaped molecular structure. tRNAs have two regions of fundamental functional importance: the anti-codon, which is responsible for specific mRNA codon recognition, and the 3' end, to which the tRNAs corresponding amino acid is attached (by aminoacyl-tRNA synthetases). tRNAs cope with the degeneracy of the genetic code in two manners: having more than one tRNA (with a specific anti-codon) for a particular amino acid; and 'wobble' base-pairing, i.e. permitting non-standard base-pairing at the 3rd anti-codon position. Lineage: Eukaryota; Metazoa; Chordata; Amphibia; Anura; Hylidae. The record is from RNAcentral.